Haliotis rubra (blacklip abalone) is the source of this 323-nucleotide long non-coding RNA. RefSeq lists it as uncharacterized. The transcript is spliced from 3 exons. NCBI's taxonomy places the organism in Eukaryota, Metazoa, Mollusca, Gastropoda, Lepetellida, Haliotidae. The record is from RefSeq and is a predicted model, not a curated record.
AACAGAUGUUUAUAUGCACAUGUAUCUAUUAAAACUUUCAGUUAUCUUGGGGUUAUUAUUUGAAAUUACUCAUAACUGUAACCAAAUAAUCAAAUGAGAAUUUUUUUACAGACUAUGUUUGAUGAUUUCAGAUGAGCCACCGGUCAAAAUGUAUCAGAAAGAUCAUGGAGUUCCAAGCCAGAUCCGAACUUCCUCCCAUCGGACAAACAGGUCGCACCAAACUGAAAGCAAACACAAAAACGGUCAGAGACUUAUCCUUGGGGAUUCCCUCUCCCGGGAAAUUAGAGGAAUUCCCAACUGCAAAGUACUUGGCCAUCCUGGAG